UGGGGAAUAUUGGACAAUGGGCGGAAGCCUGAUCCAGCAACGCCGCGUGAGGGAUGACGGCCUUCGGGUUGUAAACCUCUUUCACCGAUGACGAAGCGCAAGUGACGGUAGUCGGAGAAGAAGCACCGGCCAACUACGUGCCAGCAGCCGCGGUAAUACGUAGGGUGCGAGCGUUGUCCGGAAUUAUUGGGCGUAAAGGGCUCGUAGGCGGUUUGUCGCGUCGGGAGUGAAAACCCAGGGCUUAACCCUGGGCUGGCUUCCGAUACGGGCAGACUAGAGGUAUGCAGGGGAGAACGGAAUUCCUGGUGUAGCGGUGAAAUGCGCAGAUAUCAGGAGGAACACCGGUGGCGAAGGCGGUUCUCUGGGCAUUACCUGACGCUGAGGAGCGAAAGUGUGGGGAGCGAACAGG
This 409-nucleotide ribosomal RNA is filed under the name uncultured bacterium. RNAcentral describes it as "bacterial SSU rRNA". It matches the Rfam family "Bacterial small subunit ribosomal RNA", at positions 355 to 776 of the family's 1533-position model. The record is from RNAcentral.